UACGUAGGCAGUAAGCGUUGUUCGGAGUUACUGGGCGUAAAGAGUGCGUAGGUGGUGCCCUAAGUCUGUUGUGAAAUCUCCCGGCUUAACUGGGAGGGUGCGGUGGAAACUGGGGUGCUUGAGUGUGGGAGAGGUAAGCGGAAUUCCUGGUGUAGCGGUGAAAUGCGUAGAUAUCAGGAGGAACACCGGUGGUGUAGACGGCUUACUGGACCACGACUGACACUGAGGCACGAAAGCGUGGGUAGCAAACGGG
Molecule: ribosomal RNA, 253 nt
Filed under: uncultured bacterium
Lineage: Bacteria
Description: partial 16S ribosomal RNA
Rfam family: Bacterial small subunit ribosomal RNA
Source: RNAcentral